Molecule: long non-coding RNA, 631 nt
Organism: Macrobrachium nipponense
Lineage: Eukaryota; Metazoa; Arthropoda; Malacostraca; Decapoda; Palaemonidae
Exons: 3
Source: RefSeq, a predicted model, not a curated record
ACUGCAUAGUGGGCCAACUUCUCAAGGACUGAUAAAGCUUGUACAGCAGCUAAAGGUUAGUUUUCACAAGAGCGCCGCCAACGACGAAACCCCACUUGAAGAAGACUAAUGAAGUUAUAAUCCAAGAAGAGGAAUCCAAUGAUGAAGUCACUUGAUUUGAAAUAAGGUCCGCACGGUGCCACUGACGUUACGCAGUGAGGUUGAGAGUGCGCUGCAAGAGCUUGAAAAAAAUAAGAUUAUAGAAAGAAAAGAAUUAUCAGCUUAUGCCUCACCAAUUGUUACUGUCAGAAAGCAGAAUGGAUCCCUUAGGGUUUGUGGGGAUUUUCGUAAAAUAAAUGAAAUUCAUGAAUCUAAAUUCCCAUUACCUAAUAUGUCAGAAUUAAUUUCCAGUGUGUCUGGAUAUAAGUAUUAUACCAGACUUGAUCUCAAGAAUGCUUAUUUGCAAAUGGAAGUUGCUCCAGAAGACCGUAAAUAUUUGGUAAUUAACACACAUUUGGGUCUAAUAGAUAUUUACAGUUACCAUUUGGUAUCCAUUCUGCUCCUGCAAUAUUUCAAGAGUUCGUUUCCAAAUUGUUAGCUUCUUAUGAUUUUGCUUAUCCAUAUGUGGAUGAUAUUGUUAUAGGUGGAGACU